Molecule: transfer RNA, 90 nt
Filed under: Caballeronia arvi
Lineage: Bacteria; Pseudomonadati; Pseudomonadota; Betaproteobacteria; Burkholderiales; Burkholderiaceae
Description: Burkholderia arvi tRNA-Val
Source: RNAcentral
GCGUGUUUUGCGGCGGUUCGCUCGCGUGGCUCACAUUCGCGUCGGGCGGCGCGUCGCUCGCGCUGCAAUGGUGCAUUCCAUAUGCGCGUU